RNAcentral lists this ribosomal RNA (520 nucleotides) under uncultured bacterium. RNAcentral's name for it is "bacterial SSU rRNA". It matches the Rfam family "Bacterial small subunit ribosomal RNA", at positions 372 to 883 of the family's 1533-position model. The record is from RNAcentral.
UGGGCGCAAGCCUGAUCCAGCAAUGCCGCGUGUGUGAAGAAGGCCUUCGGGUUGUAAAGCACUUUUAUCAGGAGCGAAAUACUACCGGUUAAUAACCGGUGGGGCUGACGGUACCUGAGGAAUAAGCACCGGCUAACUUCGUGCCAGCAGCCGCGGUAAUACGAAGGGUGCAAGCGUUAAUCGGAAUUACUGGGCGUAAAGGGUGCGUAGGCGGUUCGUUAAGUCUGUCGUGAAAUCCCCGGGCUCAACCUGGGAAUGGCGAUGGAUACUGGCGAGCUAGAGUGUGUCAGAGGAUGGUGGAAUUCCCGGUGUAGCGGUGAAAUGCGUAGAGAUCGGGAGGAACAUCAGUGGCGAAGGCGGCCAUCUGGGACAACACUGACGCUGAAGCACGAAAGCGUGGGGAGCAAACAGGAUUAGAUACCCUGGUAGUCCACGCCCUAAACGAUGCGAACUGGAUGUUGGUCUCAACUCGGAGAUCAGUGUCGAAGCUAACGCGUUAAGUUCGCCGCCUGGGGAGUAC